AUACUCAGUGGUGGCCAUAGAGAGUUGGUGACUGCCUUUGAGAGGAGAAUGGUUGUGAUCCUUUUGCCGAGAACUCACCCAGAGGACUUAUACCUUGGUGACAGCAGAAGGACUCAAGUUAGAAGGCCAGGGCCCUUAAAGGGAGGGGACGAUUCGAGGAAAGUAUAGGUGGGUUGGGAGGAAUUCAUGGAUAUGGAGAUGAACAAACAAAUGGGGCCGGGAGCAGGUAAAGAGGUAGACCAGAUAACACCUCCAGAGUUGCGGUUUGACCUCUGCUGGAUCUCGGAGCUUUAGAGUCUCUAGGUGGAAAUAUCACAGAAUAAGAGACAUUCUGCUAGAAGGAAAUUUCGAGUUUAUUCCUUUCUUCCCUCCUUUUACAGAUUAGAAAACUGAGGCCCAGAGAAGGAAAGUAGCUGCCAGAGGUCACACAGCUAGGAUUGAGGGAUCAGAGGUAAGAACCCUAUGACACUUCAAGAGCCCAGGCGGUUAGGGCUGGGGAGCUCGCAGGGCCAGGGAGGUCACUGAGGAUGGCGGCGACAGCAUGACACGGGGAUCCCACAUAAUCCCAGUUGGUCCUGGGAGGACAGCCCAGGAGAGCUGCUCCCCAACUCUCAGCUGAGCCAUGUGGCCAGAGGGGGAAGGGAGCCUGGUGGGCAGGGAGGAACUGCCACAUGGAAAAGCCUUGAUGGGAACCAUCUGGCCUGGGCGGGCGGAAUGUGGGCUGCAGGGAGGGGAGGAGCAGGAGACGGGAAGGAGGCCAUGGUGGGCGGGUGGAUGGCGGGUUUGGGCUGGGAGUGGCCUGACCCGGAGGCCCCUACCUUCCAGACUGCUGCAGCCCAGAUGCCUUCGCAGCCAUGGCCUGGCCCAUCCAACCCGCUGACCUCAUUCCCAGCUCCCCUCUCUUGCAAGCUCCCCCCUUGCCUGCCACGUAGACUGGAGGCUUAGCUGCAUCUUCGCUGGAGGGAGGAAGAGCAGAACACAGAGGCCCUGAGCCCAGAGCUCUGCUGGGUCAGACUGGCCUGGGGAGAGCAGCUGUGUUCCUCCAGCGCCCCCCAAGACCAGGCUGGGCCUCAGUUUGCCCUCCUCAAACCUCCUCAAACCUGAGGCCCAGAAGGUGGAGGGGACAGAGGUCAUGGGAGAAGCAUGACAAUGAAGUGGGUUGGAGUGGGCGAGAAUCACGUGGGGGCUCUGAGGUCAUUGUAGCCAUCCCCCUGCCUCCUCAGGGCAGGAGGGUGCUAGGAUCAGACCCAGAAAGGGACAGGGGCAGGACAUUCCUCCUCUUUUCAAGCAUUCACAAGAAGCAGAGUUCCAUGGUGGUCUAGGAGGGGGUCCUUUGUAAGAUCUAGUCUUCCUCCUUCUGCUGUGUGAGGACCACAGUAUGUGGCUAGGACGAGGUGGGCGGUACGCUGUCUUCCGUCUCUCAGCUGCUCUCAGGGACCUUCGCUUCAAUCCUGUCUCCAGGCUCUGCCUCUGACCCCUGCCUCCCCCUCGCUUUGCUUCCCUGCCCCCCAGGGUCCUGGGUCUCCAGCUGCCCCAGUUGAACAGGGGGCUGUCCCCUGCGGCUCUCAAGGCGUUCCGGGGCUGUGAGUCAUCGGGAAUGUCUGUUCUGACUGCGGCUUCCCUCUCCUGACGUGGACCCUCUUUCUCCUCCUCCCCCACACUCAGGGAGAGGGUGCCCCUCCCAGGCAGGGGGCUCUGAAGUGGGGGAGGAAGCCACAGGCAGGCCUGGGAUGAGGUCUUGCUCCCCGAUUGCCAUCGGAAGGAGGCUUCGAAGACUUGCACGCCCCUCACCCAGAUUCUACCUUCCCAAGGCAGAUAGAAUUCCCUGACUUUCUCCCAUUUCCCAGGUGGGGACACUGAGGAGAGGCGGGGAGGGGAGGGCCUGAACUUGGGUGGGCCCAGGUUCACCCACUCCCUUUUAGGGCUCAGCUUUGUCAGACUGGGAAUCUGCCCAAGUGUCCUUCUGAAGGGCCCUCCCCGCAUUCGAGGCUGGAUCUGGCAGAAAAGCUGGAGAGGCUCUGCUGCCCGCUCCAGGGAUGACACGUCUCUGCUGGGUGGGGAGUCCACGUCCGCAGAAAAGGGGGAGGCCACGUGUCUGGACCCUUCCCGCAGAGCCCCUGUGCCCUGCAAGGCUGCCUGCCACCCCCCUCCUUCUCUCCCUCCUCUCCCCAGCAGCCCUGGCCUGCCCCCUCCCUCUGAUCUCAAGAAAUAGCUGGGGGGUCGGGGGAGGGGACACUGAAGGGAAGACCAAGCUAGGAAAAGCUCCUCUCCACCCCCUCCCAGCAUGUCUGGGCAUUUCACUCCCCACCAAUGAGCCUCAGUUUCCUCAACUGGAAAAUAAGGGGGAUGAACAGAAAAAGUCUCUACCCAUGGGUGAGUCUAUGAUCCUGUCUCUGCACAGUCAGAUAGACUCAGGCACUCACACCCACUCAAACCCACCUGUGCUCUCAGGCACGUUCAUUCAUUCACACAUUCACCGAUGCACACUUACACACACAUCUACACGCACAUGUGGCCCUCUGCCUAUUUUGGGUACAGCAGAUCCCCACAAUUUCUGUUUCCCUCUUUCUGACAGCCCACCAUUUCUUCUCUCAUUCCAAUCAUACCUCCCCCAGCCCCCACCCCACCCCCUUUAGCCACCCUCUUUACAUUUCUCUACUCCUGGUUCUCCUCCUCUUGAGGUCACUGGCAGGGCAGUGAGAUUUGAACUUCAGAGUAUCAGACCUCUGACCUUGCCAAAGACCACUCUGACUCUGCCCUAAGGCUCUUUCUGAGUUUUGGGUGGGAGGGAGUCUGAGUGAGGAGAGAGAAUAGAGCUGAGAAAGGCUGGUUCUUUCCUACCCAGCUGGGGACCUGCAAAAGGGUGCCCUUCACUUGUCUUUCCUGAACAUUAUGAACAUUCGCUUUCCAACAAAGUCUGUCCCACUGACAUCCGGAGGCCUCCUCUGAAGUGCGAUCAUUUUAGCAGCUUGUCCUGGCUGUUGCCCCAGGUUGCACCCUUCUAGGAACUUCCGCCUGAGGGAGACUGGUCAGAGCUCAGGAGGGACUGUUCCAGGGGAUGAGAUAUCUGCUGGCCAGGAAAGGCAUGGGAACUGGGCAGCGGAGCACACCCUCCGGACCUGGCCCAACUUCAGAAUAACAACAAAUGAUUGUGCCAGGCUCUGCCGUAAGUACUUUACACCUUUGUACUCCUCCAAAAGCCCUCUGAGAUGGGUGCUCCAAUUGUCUCCAAUUUCAAAGGAGGAAAGAGAGGCACAGAGAAGUCAAGUCAGUUGCCUGAAGUCACAAAGCUAGCAAGUGGCUGAGCUGGAAUUCAAACCCAGGCAGCCUGGCUUAUCUGUUACUCCCAGCUGGUCCAAGGGACCCGGGAUGGUCCAAGGGAUGCCCUCCCCCUUCAUCUAAAGAAGUGGCUAUUUGCAUAAACAGGCUUCCAUCUGUGUGCAUGCAUGGAAAGGAUCACGGGAUGACGUGGCUGGAAACAGACCACAGGCACCACCAGUAGUUGGAAAGAUCAGAACAGAGCUGCCUCCCUCCCUUUUGCUGGAGAACUAUUGUGAGCUGACCACCACACACACGACAUCUCCUUUAAUCCUCACAACAGCUCUGGGACGUCAGCCUUAAUAUCUCUAUUUUAUAGCUGUAGAGUCAGAAGGGCCGAGGCGUUGUGCAAGAUCCCCUUUCUCAAGCUCAGAAAGAACCCAGGUGUCCUGACAGCCAGAUCAGGCUUCUCUCAUUGAUCCACACGUCCCCUAUUUCCAAAUCUACAUGGCUUCUAGACACACACAGCCACAUACAACAGACCACGCAGAAUGUUGGAAAGAAUUACAGCUCUUGGCCGGGCGCGGUGGCUCACGCCUGUAAUCCCUGCACUUUGGGAGGUCGAGGUGGGUGGAUCACCUGAGGUCAGGAGUUCAAGACCAGCCUGACCAACAUGAUGAAACCCCGUCUCUACUAAAAAUACAAAAAAAUUAGCUGGGCGUGAUGGCGGAUACCUGUAAUCCCAGCUACCCAGGAGGCUGCGGCAGAAGAAUCGCUUGAAACCAGGAGGCAGAGGUUGCAGUGAGCUGAGAUCGUACCACUGCACUCCAAUCUGGGCAACAACAGCAAAACUCCAUCUAAAAAAAAAAAAAAAUUACAGCUCUCGGUAGUGUUUGAAGAAGCACUUUGCACCUCCUCAUUGACAAUGCCCCAGGAAGGGCUUAUGCUCAUUCUGUUGUGAGGGGAAGCCCCUUGCUGGGGCUUCCCCCCUGGCUGGGAAGUGGUAAAGCUGUGAAUAGAUCCCAUGUCUGCCUGGCCUGGCCACAAAGCUAGUGCUCCUCCCACUCUCCAAUACCACCUGCCACCCUCACUGUCACCAGCCCAGAAGCACCCCCUGCACACACCAUAUCCCCAGUGAGCACACAUGCAUGUCACAGACAGGAAAAUCACACUCAUGUAGUACCUGCACGACACAGGCUAAGGGCUUUUUGGUGUUUCCUGUGUGCCAGGCCCUGUUGUAAGUUCCGUGUAGGCAUGAGCUAGAUGCAAGGCCGCAACAAUCCUAGGAUGUAGGUUCCUUUCAAUAUUCUUAUCCUCAUUUUACAAAUGAGGAAACUGAGGCUCAGAGAGGUUAAGUAAUUUGCCCAAGGUCACACAGCUAGGAAGUUGCAGAGCUGAGAUUUGAACGCAGGCUUUAACCACUGUGCUAUGGCCCAUUCUCUAAUAUUGAUUGCAUGCUACUCAUUCAGUCAGUCAUCAACUAUUACUGACUGCUGUGUUGUGCCCAACUCUGCACAGGCCCCCGGGACGGCUCUUCCCUGCCCCCUCCUCCUGACCCAGCCUGGUGUGUACCACAUGGUAGAUGGGGGCUGUACCUGCUCUCACUCUCCUUCUUUUCCAGAGUUCCUCCUCCCCCACAAGCUGGCACAUGUGGAUAUUGGCUCUGUUUUGCCUUUGACCCCUAGUGAAAGAAAAUACUGAGACGGAGUCUCGCUCUGUCGCCCAGGUUGGAGUGAAGCGGCUAGAUCUCAGCUCACUGCAACCUCUGCCUCCCAGGUUUAAGCAAUUCUCCUGUCUCAGCCUCCAGAGUAGCUGGGACUACAGGCGCAUGCCACCAUGCCCUACUAAUUUUUUGUAUUUUUAGGAGAGACAGGCCUUCACCAUGUUGGUCAAGCUGGUCUCGAACUCCUGACCUCAGGUGACCCACCGGCUUCAGCCUCCCAAAGUGCUGGGAUUACAGGCAUGAGCCACCGCGCCCAGCCUCAUAUCUAUCUUUAUCACUCCAUUUCAGAUCUUCUUCCAUAUAUGGCUCUGUGUGUCUCCUGUCCUUCCCUGUCUCCUCACUGCUUUUCAGCUGGUAGACCCCUGUGGGGACAACAGAUCAGAGCUUGGUCACCAAUAUGGACAUCUAGGUCUGAGCAGGGCCCACUCCCCGGGGGCGCAUCAGCUCCAUCCCGGCACCCUUUACACUGGCCUUCUCUUCACAAAGGACCACAGGUCAUCCUCAAGCCUUCCUCCCAGGCUAUCCUUGUCCCUGAAUACUAAUGUCUAAAGGUCAGCCCAGCUACCAGCAGUGUGCAUGUGAUGUGUCCCAUCUCCCCUUCGGAUUGGAGGAAGAAGCUGUGUCCCUCCCAUCAGACAGACGGUCUCCUUAAAGAUUCUCCUGGUCUCCAGCUUGGGCUCUGCUGGAAAGAAGAGGAAGUAUUUAGCAAGGGUGAAGAUGGGUUCUUACUUCCCUGAGGCAACCAGAGAUAAGAAAAGACCAGAAUAUGAAUAUCCAGCAUUCCACAAAGAAUCCUACAGGCAGGGAUAUUGCCCAAUCACCAGUGCCUCGCAUCCCAGUUCUAUCCAAGAUCCAAGCUUGAUAUCCUCCUGAAAGACUUCCUGAAUCAGGUCACCAACAUGGACAUCUGAACUUCCAGAAUCAGGUCACCGUCUUUCUUCUCAUCUCUGGAUGUAUUUGGAGCUCAUUUGUCUGACGGUUUUUGAAUGCUAUCUUUUAAAAAUAAACUUUUACAAUUUGGGUUUAAUAAUUCUAGAUUUAUAGAAAAGUUGAAAAGAAAGUACAGAAAGUUCCCAUAUAUCCCUUAUCCAGUUCUCUUAAUGUUAACCUCCUACAUCAUCAUGGAACAUUUGCCAAAAUGAAGAUGUCAACACUGGUGCUUUGCUGUGAACUAAACUCCAGACUUUAUUCGGAUUUCAUGAAUUUUUCUCCUAAGGUCCCUUUUCCGUUCCGGCAUUCCACCCAGGAUAUCACAUUGCAUUUGGUGUUUGUGUCUCCUUGGUCUCCUCUGGUUCUUGAGAGUUUCUCAGUCUCUCCUUGUUUUUCGUGACUGAAGUUUCAAGGAGUACUGGUCAGGUAUUCCAUAGAAUGUCCUACUGUUAGCUUUCAGCAGUAAAAGCCUUUCCACAAACAAAACCUUCUGCAGAGUCCUAAUCUGUGAACAGACAAGAAUGGAGUUGCCAUGGUCACAGCAGUGAUGAGAAAUGAUCCCCUGAAUAUGAAUCUCCAUGAAACCCCCCGAGAAUUAUAAGAAACCCCCAGGAUACCAUGGAACCAAGUUUGAAAACCAUUAAUUUAGGCCAAGCUCUGUUCAGUACUUGGUUUUGAGCUAUAAAACCCUAGACAGGGAAUUAUAAACUAGAUCUUAGAUCUUACAUACUUCUGGUGACAGGGCCACCACAGUUUUUUUG
Molecule: long non-coding RNA, 6672 nt
Filed under: Homo sapiens (human)
Lineage: Eukaryota; Metazoa; Chordata; Mammalia; Primates; Hominidae
Description: non-protein coding LINC01969:14
Source: RNAcentral